UAUAUAUAUCGCACUAUCCUUUAACCACAGAUGCUUGAUCGAUGUUAGGGUUAGGGAUCCAGAUAGGAUGGAGUUCCACAUAGUGGAUCAGAAUAAAAUCAGUCUGAUAUGUGGAGAGCAUGAAGACAGACACGUGCUGACAGACACGUGCUGUCUUCAUGAUCUCUUCACCAGUGGGUGACUUGGCAACAUACUCCCGAGGUCUCCCUGUAAUUGUAAUUGGAAGGAGCAUAACCAAGAACCCAUGACUGUCGAGGUCACCUCCUGCUGGCAUGGAACAGGACACAGCAGAUUCCUGACUUCCUGUUUUGUCUGCCAAGACUAAGACUGAUGUUCCCACACUUUUCUGUGGAGGUCUGGGAACGGAACCUCACGAAUCCUGGGGCAAGAUAGUUGCCAAUGUGGGGUUUCUUAUUACAGCAGCCCCUUGUCGUUCAUCAUGCCAGCACAAAAUAGAACACCAGCGAACACAGGACUAUAUUCACACGAGUUCUUAUCUCGCCAUUAACCACAGAUGCUUGAUCCCUAACAUCGAUCAAGAUUGGUGGGCGUUCCACAUAGUGGAUCAGAAUAAAAUCAGUCUGAUAUGUGGAGAGCAUGAAGACAGACACGUGCUGACAGACACGUGCUGUCUUCAUGAUCUCUUCACCAGUGGGUGACUUGGCAACAUACUCCCGACUCAGGGAGUGACAAAAAAUAACAAUACAGGUCAAUAAGAAACCUGUAUGCCAAUGUGGGGGUUCUUAUUGCAGCAGCCCCUUGGUGUUCUAUUUUGUGCUGGCAUGAUGAACGACAGUGAACACAGGACUAUAUUCACAUGAGUUCUUAUCUCACCAUUCUUUAACCACAGAUGCUUGAUCCCUAACCCUAACAUCGAUCAACAUUGGUGGGCAUUCCACAUAGUGGAUCAGAAUAAAAUCAGUCUGAUAUGUGGAGAGCAUGAAGACAGACACGUGCUGUCUUCAUGCUCUCUUCACCAGUGGGUGACUUGGCAACAUACUCCCGACUCAGGGAGUGACAAAAAAUAACAAUACAGGUCAAUAAGAAACCUGUAUGCCAAUGUGGGGGUUCUUAUUGCAGCAGCCCCUUGGUGUUCUAUUUUGUGCUGGCAUGAUGAACGACAGUGAACACAGGACUAUAUUCACAUGAGUUCUUAUCUCACCAUUCUUUAACCACAGAUGAUUGACCCCUAACCCUAACAUCGAUCAACAUUGGUGGGCAUUCCACAUAGUGGAUCAGAAUAAAAUCAGUCUGAUAUGUGGAGAGCAUGAAGACAGACACGUGCUGUCUUCAUGCUCUCUUCACCAGUGGGUGACUUGGCAACAUACUCCCGACUCAGGGAGUGACAAAAAACAACAAUACAGGUCAGUAAGAAACCUGUAUGCCAAUGUGGGGUUUCUUAUUGCAGCAGCCCCUUGUCGUUCAUCAUGCCAGCACAAAAUAGAACACCAGCGAACACAGGACUAUAUUCACACGAGUUCUUAUCUCGCCAUUAACCACAGAUGCUUGAUCCCUAACAUCGAUCAAGAUUGGUGGGCGUUCCACAUAGUGGAUCAGAAUAAAAUCAGUCUGAUAUGUGGAGAGCAUGAAGACAGACACGUGCUGACAGACACGUGCUGUCUUCAUGCUCUCUUCACCAGUGGGUGACUUGGCAACAUACUCCCGACUCAGGGAGUGACAAAAAAUAACAAUACAGGUCAAUAAGAAACCUGUAUGCCAAUGUGGGGGUUCUUAUUGCAGCAGCCCCUUGGUGUUCUAUUUUGUGCUGGCAUGAUGAACGACAGUGAACACAGGACUAUAUUCACAUGAGUUCUUAUCUCACCAUUCUUUAACCACAGAUGCUUGAUCCCUAACCCUAACAUCGAUCAACAUUGGUGGGCAUUCCACAUAGUGGAUCAGAAUAAAAUCAGUCUGAUAUGUGGAGAGCAUGAAGACAGACACGUGCUGACAGACACGUGCUGUCUUCAUGCUCUCUUCACCAGUGGGUGACUUGGCAACAUACCCCCGAGGUCUCCCUGUAAUUGUAAUUGGAAGGAGCAUAACCAAAAACCCAUGACUGUCGAGGUCACCUCCUGCUGGCAUGGAACAGGACACAGCAGAUUCUUGAUUUCCUGUUUUGUCUGCCAAGACUAAGAAAGAUGUUCCCACACUUUUCUGUGGAAGUCUGGGAACGGAACCUCACGAAUCCUGGGGCAAGAUAGUUGCCAAUGUGGGGUUUCUUAUUACAGCAGCCCUUGUCGUUCAUCAUGCCAGCACAAAAUAGAACACCAGUCAAAUUAAAUCAGCAAAUGAGGAUAUUCAAAAACAACCACUGCAUCCAGUUUCGACCGUAAAUGAUGCAGACCCACGAUCUGUGGCGUUAUUCCCAUGACCCAUUAGCAGUCAUCUCAUGCGUGUGGAGGGCAGUCAGAGAGCCCAGUACCAUGAGGACCUACACACCAGAAGGCAUAAUGAUUUUAAUCUGGUACACUAUGAUCAAACUGAUGAUCAGUCUCCAGGUAAUGUCCCAUGGUACUUUUAAGGAAGGGGACAAUGUGACACUAAAAUGCAUGGCAGACGGAAACCCCCCUCCUAAAAGCUACAGACCACAUUUUUCUGGAGGAGAGACUCCUUUUUUAACAACAGUGACAGAAUAUGAGCACACCAAAAGAUCAAAAAGGGAUCUCUGACCCCAAACUUUAGAGAGGCUCAAAGGUCUACUGAUUUGAAUUAAGGAGUUUUAAUUAUUUUAGUAUUUUUUAUUAUUGUAUCUGUAUUUUUUUUUAUUAAUAUCUUUUUUUUUUAUAUUUAUUAUAUCUAUAUUUUUUGUUAAUUGUAUUAUAUCUGUAAUUUCAUACCUAUUUUUUUUAUGUUAAUUGUAUUAUUAUAUCUAUAAUU
Molecule: long non-coding RNA, 2877 nt
Organism: Myxocyprinus asiaticus (Chinese sucker)
Lineage: Eukaryota; Metazoa; Chordata; Actinopteri; Cypriniformes; Catostomidae
Exons: 3
Source: RefSeq, a predicted model, not a curated record